CGGCGCAGGGGAGAGUAACGUGUGUAUACCUGCCCCGAGGUCCGGGAUAGCCCAUCGAAAGGAGGGGUAAUACCGGAUAACAUCUACUGAUCAAAGGUGUGAUUCCGACUCGGGAUGGGUCCGCGUCCUAUUUUCUUGUUGGGGGGGUAAUGGCCUACCUCGGCGACCAUGGGUAGUGGGCGUGAGCGCGUGGCCCGCCUCACUGGGACUGAGACACUGCCCAUACACCUACUGCUGGCUGCCCUCCAGAAUCUUCGGCAAUGGGCGCAAGCCUGACCGAGCGACGCCGCGUGCGGGAUGAAGGCCUUCGGGUUGUAAACCGCUGUCUUAGGGGAGGAAGGGUCCGUGAAGAGCGAAACUUGACCUAUCCUCACAGGAACUGCGGGCUAAAUUCGUGCCAGCAGCCGCGGUAAGACUAACCGCAUGAACGUUAUUCGGAAUCACUGGGCUUAAACGGUGCGUUAGCGGCCGUUCAACUCCGGUGUGAAAGCCCUCCGCUUAACUGAUGAAUUGCGCCCGAUACUGUUCUGCUUGAGGGGAGACAGAGGUGAGCGGAACUUGCGGCUGGAGCGGUGAAAUGCGUUGAUAUCGCAAGGAACACCAGUAGCGAAAGCGGCUCACUGGGUCUCUUCUGACGCUGAGGCACGAAAGCUAGGGUAGCGAAGAGGAUUAGACACCCUCGUAGUCCUAGCUGUAAACGCUGAGCACUGGAUUGGGGGGUCCUCCAUAGCCUUCCGGUCGUAGCGAAAGUGUUAAGUGCUCCGCCUGGGGAGUAUGGUCGCAAGGCUGAAACUCAAAGGAAUUGAUGGGGGCUCACACUAGCGGUGGAGGAUGUGGCUUAAUUCGAGGCUACGCGAAGAACUUUAUCCUGGAUUUGACAUGUUUGGGAAUCCCCUGGAAACAGGGGAGUGCCCCUCGGGGAGCCCUUGCACAGGUGCUGCAUGGCCGUCGUCAGCUCGUGUCGUGAGAUGUCGGGUUAAGUCCCUUAACGAGCGAAACCCUUGUCGUUAGUUGCCAGCGGGUCAUGCCGGGGACUCUAACGAGACAGCCGGUGUUAAACCGGAGGAAGGUGGGGAUGACGUCAAGUCCUCAUGGCCUUUAUGUCCAGGGCUGCACACGUCCUACAAUGGUGCGUACAAAGGGAAGCAAACUCGCGAGAGUAAGCAAAUCCCAAAAAGCGCGCCCCAGUUCGAAUUGCAGGGUGCAACUCGCGUGCAUGAAGCUGGAAUCGCUAGUAAUCGCGGGUCAGCAUACCGCGGUGAAUGUGUUCCUGAGCCUUGUACACACCGCCCGUCAAGCCACGAAAGUGGGGGCCCGGCGAAGUCGCCGAGCUAACCCGUAAGGGA
This 1346-nucleotide ribosomal RNA is filed under the name uncultured organism. Its description in RNAcentral is "16S ribosomal RNA". It matches the Rfam family "Bacterial small subunit ribosomal RNA", at positions 96 to 1448 of the family's 1533-position model. The record is from RNAcentral.